UUAAGCUGACGAGUGGCGAACGGGUGAGUAAUGUAUCGGAACGUGCCCAGUCGUGGGGGAUAACUGCUCGAAAGAGCAGCUAAUACCGCAUACGACCUGAGGGUGAAAGCGGGGGAUCGCAAGACCUCGCGCGAUUGGAGCGGCCGAUAUCAGAUUAGGUAGUUGGUGAGGUAAAGGCUCACCAAGCCGACGAUCUGUAGCUGGUCUGAGAGGACGACCAGCCACACUGGGACUGAGACACGGCCCAGACUCCUACGGGAGGCAGCAGUGGGGAAUUUUGGACAAUGGGCGCAAGCCUGAUCCAGCCAUGCCGCGUGCGGGAAGAAGGCCUUCGGGUUGUAAACCGCUUUUGUCAGGGAAGAAAAGGUUCUGGCUAAUACCUGGGACUCAUGACGGUACCUGAAGAAUAAGCACCGGCUAACUACGUGCCAGCAGCCGCGGUAAUACGUAGGGUGCAAGCGUUAAUCGGAAUUACUGGGCGUAAAGCGUGCGCAGGCGGUUAUGCAAGACAGAGGUGAAAUCCCCGGGCUCAACCUGGGAACUGCCUUUGUGACUGCAUGGCUAGAGUACGGUAGAGGGGGAUGGAAUUCCGCGUGUAGCAGUGAAAUGCGUAGAUAUGCGGAGGAACACCGAUGGCGAAGGCAAUCCCCUGGACCUGUACUGACGCUCAUGCACGAAAGCGUGGGGAGCAAACAGGAUUAGAUACCCUG
Molecule: ribosomal RNA, 710 nt
Filed under: uncultured Roseateles sp.
Lineage: Bacteria; Pseudomonadati; Pseudomonadota; Betaproteobacteria; Burkholderiales; Sphaerotilaceae
Description: bacterial SSU rRNA
Rfam family: Bacterial small subunit ribosomal RNA
Source: RNAcentral